This 777-nucleotide ribosomal RNA is filed under the name uncultured Neocallimastigales. Its description in RNAcentral is "partial large subunit ribosomal RNA". It matches the Rfam family "Eukaryotic large subunit ribosomal RNA", at positions 26 to 628 of the family's 3401-position model. Lineage: Eukaryota; Fungi; Neocallimastigomycota; Neocallimastigomycetes; Neocallimastigales. The record is from RNAcentral.
CGCAUCUGUGCAUGCAGCAUAUCAAUAAGCGGAGGAAAAGAGACUAACAAGGAUUCCCUAGUAACGGCGAGUGAAGCGGGAAGAGCUCAAAUUUGAAAUCUUCAAGGUUUUACCUUGACGAAUUGUAGUUUAAAGAAGUGUUUUCUGCUGAAGUUUUGGUAAAAGUUCUUUGGAAUAGGACAUCAUAGAGGGUGAGGAAUCCCGUAUUUGACCAUUAUUUUCAGCUUUGUGAUACACUUUCAAAGAGUCGGAUUGUUUGGGAAUGCAGUCCAAAAUGGGUGGUAAAUUUCAUCUAAAGCUAAAUAUUGGCGAGAGACCGAUAGCGAACAAGUACCGUGAGGGAAAGAUGAAAAGAACUUUGAAAAGAGAGUUAAACAGUACGUGAAAUUGUCAAAAGGGAAGCGUUUGACACCAGUGUUGUUUUCUCGAAAAUCAAUUAAAAAUGAGUUAGAUUUUGUAUGUGUAUUGACCUUAACAGCUUGCACUGUACAUUUUCGUGUCUUUUUUAAUGCACUUUUCGUUUAACAAGUCAACAUCAGUUUCUUUUGUUGUAAAAGGGUCAUUGGAAGGUGGCUUUCUUUUCGGAGAAAGUGUUUAUAGCCUUUGGCCUCUGCAAUCGAAGAGACUGAGGUCUGCAGCGUAGACUCUUCGGGGUUAGAUACAUUUGUGCUAAGUUAUAGCUUUUUAUAGACAACUUGUUGACUAUAAUUAGUCUUGUAGCUUACUCGCUUAUGCUAUUUUACCUACGCUUAGGAUGUUGAUAGUCACAGCGUGUAC